AAAAAAAAAAAGAAUUAUCCUUAUAAUUUUCUUUCAAAUUCAAAAGAAAAAUGAAGUGAAAAUAUUAAAAUCUCUAUUCCAUCCGCUAACCAUUUAAACAUUUCUCUACUGCUUUAUGAAAUGAUUUCAUAAACUUCAUAAAAGAGCUUUGGCAGAGAUAUCAGACGUCAAGCACAUAGAAGCAAAAUGCAAGAAUCCCUCAAGCAAUUAAAUAGCUAAUAAGCAGAAAAGUCUUGAGCAAAUUUACAUAUACAUAUAUUCACAAACUUGUU
Molecule: unclassified non-coding RNA, 272 nt
Filed under: Hevea brasiliensis (rubber tree)
Lineage: Eukaryota; Viridiplantae; Streptophyta; Magnoliopsida; Malpighiales; Euphorbiaceae
Source: RNAcentral